GACGAACGCUGGCGGCGUGCUUAACACAUGCAAGUCGAACGGAAAGGCCCUGCUUUUGUGGGGUGCUCGAGUGGCGAACGAGUGAGUAACACGUGAGUAACCUGCCCUUGACUUUGGGAUAACUUCAGGAAACUGGGGCUAAUACCGGAUAGGAGCUCCUGCUGCAUGGUGGGGGUUGGAAAGUUUCGGCGGUUGGGGUUGGACUCGCGGCUUAUCAGCUUGUUGGUGGGGUAGUGGCUUACCAAGGCUUUGACGGGUAGCCGGCCUGAGAGGGUGACCGGCCACAUUGGGACUGAGAUACGGCCCAGACUCCUACGGGAGGCAGCAGUGGGGAAUAUUGCACAAUGGGCGGAAGCCUGAUGCAGCAACGCCGCGUGCGGGAUGACGGCCUUCGGGUUGUAAACCGCUUUCGCCUGUGACGAAGCGUGAGUGACGGUAAUGGGUAAAGAAGCACCGGCUAACUACGUGCCAGCAGCCGCGGUGAUACGUAGGGUGCGAGCGUUGUCCGGAUUUAUUGGGCGUAAAGGGCUCGUAGGUGGUUGAUCGCGUCGGAAGUGUAAUCUUGGGGCUUAACCCUGAGCGUGCUUUCGAUACGGGUUGACUUGAGGAAGGUAGGGGAGAAUGGAAUUCCUGGUGGAGCGGUGGAAUGCGCAGAUAUCAGGAGGAACACCAGUGGCGAAGGCGGUUCUCUGGGCCUUUCCUGACGCUGAGGAGCGAAAGCGUGGGGAGCGAACAGGCUUAGAUACCCUGGUAGUCCACGCUGUAAACGGUGGGUACUAGGUGUGGGGUCCAUUCCACGGGUUCCGUGCCGUAGCUAACGCUUUAAGUACCCCGCCUGGGGAGUACGGCCGCAAGGCUAAAACUCAAAGGAAUUGACGGGGCCCCGCACAAGCGGCGGAGCAUGCGGAUUAAUUCGAUGCAACGCGUAGAACCUUACCUGGGUUUGACAUGGAUCGGGAGUGCUCAGAGAUGGGUGUGCCUCUUUUGGGGUCGGUUCACAGGUGGUGCAUGGCUGUCGUCAGCUCGUGUCGUGAGAUGUUGGGUUAAGUCCCGCAACGAGCGCAACCCUUGUUCACUGUUGCCAGCACGUUAUGGUGGGGACUCAGUGGAGACCGCCGGGGUCAACUCGGAGGAAGGUGGGGAUGACGUCAAGUCAUCAUGCCCCUUAUGUCCAGGGCUUCACGCAUGCUACAAUGGCUGGUACAGAGAGUGGCGAGCCUGUGAGGGUGAGCGAAUCUCGGAAAGCCGGUCUCAGUUCGGAUUGGGGUCUGCAACUCGACCUCAUGAAGUCGGAGUCGCUAGUAAUCGCAGAUCAGCAACGCUGCGGUGAAUACGUUCCCGGG
This 1343-nucleotide ribosomal RNA is filed under the name uncultured bacterium. Its description in RNAcentral is "16S ribosomal RNA". It matches the Rfam family "Bacterial small subunit ribosomal RNA", at positions 28 to 1378 of the family's 1533-position model. The record is from RNAcentral.